ACGCCUGUCCACCGCCUCUCUCCCUCAUCCGAUUCUCUCUUCUCCUUUGGCCUCCUGCGCACGCCAGCUCCUUCGUCUCUCUCUCUUUCUUUGUGCGACGCCUUCAGCUUCUUCUCCAUGAUCAUUUUCCCUCCAUCUCCUCUGCCAUCUACCGAAGCCACUCAUCCCCUGCUCCACUCACAUACGCCCACCUCCACUCACGAUUCUCCAUCUGCUUCGGUCAACAGCAGCAACAACUGAAGCUCCUCGGUUGACCGCAAAAGCCCAGCAGCAGCGACGUCCACGAAGCUGCUCCAUCGUCCGCACGUCCGCGCCACUUGUCCCUGCACCGCGACUCUUUGGUCAAGAGCCGCAGGUUGCUCCCAUUUGGUUGACCACCGAACGAAGUCGAAGCAGCUCCGUUCUUCACGGCGUCUUCUUCAGCUCGUGCGAAGCGACCCAACCCAGCAACUUCACGUGCGACACCUCCUGCCGUUACCUCGAGCAGCACCGUUCGAAGACCACCCGCCAGCUGCUUCCUCAUCCGUUGAUCUUCGUGAAGCGGGUUCAACAUCUUCGAGAAUUCCAGCGCCCGCAUGCCCCGAUCCCAGCUGCCAGCAAUUGCGCGAAGCUGCACGCGUGCAACCGAGCGGCCCAUCAGCCCAGCGUCUUCAGGUUUCGGCCCAGCUCCUUCUGUCUCGCGGGCCCAAAGAAUUGAGUCCAUCCAGCCCUUAAGUCAGUGAAGUCAGUCCAAAUUCGGCCCAUCUCCAGCAGUCUUCAGCCCACUGAUCAGCCCAGUUUCCUUUGUGCAACUUACUCGGCCCUAUUGCAGCAAAUCAAGUGAAGACCGGCCCGCGAAGAAAGCCCAAGCCCACGACCAGCAGCCCUGCAGAAGCCCAAGACCAAAACUCAGCCUUGCUGAGUUGUGUUGGGCCCGUUUUAGGCCCGGUCCGAGAGUUCGCCGACACUGCCGAAAAUUAACAUUUUGGCCGCUGUCGCGUCGUCGUCGCGGUGAACCGGUUUCCACAAUUAACCGGGUCGUCGAGUGGAGGACUGGGAGCCGAGAGAAGGUGAUGUGAAGUGUAGGUCAGCUAGGACCAUUUCUUUUUGGAAAGUGGUUCUUUUGUGGCCUUUUGGUCAUAGACCUUGUACUUGACAUUAUGUGAAUAUAAAAACAUGUUUGUUCUA
Long non-coding RNA from Eucalyptus grandis, 1167 nucleotides. RefSeq lists it as uncharacterized. The transcript is spliced from 2 exons. The record is from RefSeq and is a predicted model, not a curated record. NCBI's taxonomy places the organism in Eukaryota, Viridiplantae, Streptophyta, Magnoliopsida, Myrtales, Myrtaceae.